RNAcentral lists this ribosomal RNA (402 nucleotides) under bacterium. RNAcentral describes it as "partial 16S ribosomal RNA". It matches the Rfam family "Bacterial small subunit ribosomal RNA", at positions 355 to 776 of the family's 1533-position model. The record is from RNAcentral.
UGGGGAAUUUUGCACAAUGGGGGAAACCCUGAUGCAGCGACGCCGCGUGAUUUAGAAGGCCUUCGGGUUGUAAAAAUCUUUUCUAUGGGAAGAAAAUGACAGUACCAUAGGAAUAAGGACCGGCUAAUUACGUGCCAGCAGCCGCGGUAAUACGUAAGGUCCGAGCGUUGUCCGGAAUCAUGGGGCGUAAAGGGUACGUAGGCGGGUAAGCAAGUUAGAAGUGAAAUCCUAUAGCUCAACUAUAGUAAGCUUUUAAAACUGCUCAUCUUGAGGUAUGGAAGGGAAAGUGGAAUUCCUAGUGUAGCGGUGAAAUGCGCAGAUAUUAGGAGGAAUACCGGUGGCGAAGGCGACUUUCUGGCCAUAACCUGACGCUGAGGUACGAAAGCGUGGGUAGCAAACAGG